AUCAGAGCAGUUCCCAUUCUCUAACAUCACACAUCAGCACCAUCCUUGCCGUCUUCAAAUAAAGGAAAAGCCAAAACGAUAUGAAGGAGGCGACAAGGGAAGACUUGAUGGGCGUGUGAUGUUUGGACUAUGGAGUGAUCUAAGAAGUUGUCAAGAAUUUAUUAAGAGUGUUUUGGUUUAAUUGUUUAAAGUAUUUAGAACUUGUACAUGUUACUUUUUGGAUUGUUUUGUCGUGUUUUGUUAGAGUUGGUUUCCUUUGGUA
Molecule: long non-coding RNA, 262 nt
Organism: Zingiber officinale
Lineage: Eukaryota; Viridiplantae; Streptophyta; Magnoliopsida; Zingiberales; Zingiberaceae
Exons: 2
Source: RefSeq, a predicted model, not a curated record